Molecule: ribosomal RNA, 391 nt
Filed under: uncultured bacterium
Lineage: Bacteria
Description: bacterial SSU rRNA
Rfam family: Bacterial small subunit ribosomal RNA
Source: RNAcentral
AUUGAACGCUGGCGGAAUGCUUUACACAUGCAAGUCGAGCGGCAGCAUGGACUUCGGUCUGAUGGCGAGCGGCGAACGGGUGAGUAACAUAUAGGAACAUACCCAGUAAUGGGGGAGUAACUCCGAGAAAUCGGAGCUAAUACCGCAUACGCCCUGAGGGGGAAAGGACGGGGGAGUCUUCGGACCUCGCGUUAUUGGAAUGGCCUAUAUCUGAUUAGCUAGUUGGUGAGGUAAAGGACUCACCAAGGCGACGAUCAGUAGCUGGUCUGAGAGGAUGAUCAGCCACACUGGAACUGAGACACGGUCCAGACUCCUACGGGAGGCAGCAGUGGGGAAUUUUGGACAAUGGGCGAAAGCCUGAUCCAGCCAUUCCGCGUGAGUGAAGAAGGCC